This is a long non-coding RNA of Oncorhynchus tshawytscha (Chinook salmon), 467 nucleotides long. The record is from Ensembl. NCBI's taxonomy places the organism in Eukaryota, Metazoa, Chordata, Actinopteri, Salmoniformes, Salmonidae.
GAGGGGUUUCCAUACUGGUUAGAGGGGUUUCCAUACUGGGCAGAGGGUUUCCAUACUGGGUCGAGGGGUUCCAUACUGGGUCGAGGGGUUCCAUACUGGGUAGAGGGUGUCCAUUGUGGGUAGAGGGGUUCCAUACUGGGCAGAGGGGUUCAACACUGGGUAGAGGGGUUCCAUUCUGGGUAGAGGGUUUCCAUACUGGGUAUAGGGGUUCCACACUGGUCCGCGGGUUUCUAUCCUGGGUUGAGGGGUUCCAUUCUGGGUAGAGGGGUUCCAUACUGGGCCGAGGGGUUCCAUACUGGGUAGAGGGGUUCCAUACUGGGUAGAGGGGUUCCAUACUGGGUAGAGGGGUUCCAUACUGGGUGGAGGGGUUCCAUAGUGGGUAGAGGGGUUCCAUAGUGGGUAGAGGGGUUCCAUACUGGGUAGAGGGGUUCCAUAGUGGGUAGAGGGGUUCCAUAGUGGGUAGAGGG